Molecule: small nucleolar RNA, 129 nt
Organism: Fukomys damarensis (Damara mole-rat)
Lineage: Eukaryota; Metazoa; Chordata; Mammalia; Rodentia; Bathyergidae
Source: Ensembl
UUCCAUAGUGUUGAGCUCAUUUCAGAGUAUCUGCCCUGCUCUGGUAAUUAAACUUUAGGACAUUGAAACUGGCUAGGAAAUAAUGAUUGGAUAGAAAAUAUUUUAUGCAUUUAUCCCCAGCCUACCAAU